This 1439-nucleotide ribosomal RNA is filed under the name uncultured bacterium. RNAcentral's name for it is "bacterial SSU rRNA". It matches the Rfam family "Bacterial small subunit ribosomal RNA". The record is from RNAcentral.
GAUGAACGCUAGCGGGAGGCUUAACACAUGCAAGUCGAGGGGUAUUUGUAGCAAUACAGAGAGACCGGCGCACGGGUGAGUAACGCGUAUGCAACCUGCCCUUUACUGGAGGAUAGCCCGUAGAAAUGCGGAUUAAUACCCCAUAGUAAUGUUGGAUCGCAUGAUUUGACAUUUAAAGUUUCGGCGGUAAAGGAUGGGCAUGCGUGACAUUAGCUUGUUGGUGAGGUAACGGCUCACCAAGGCUGCGAUGUCUAGGGGUUCUGAGAGGAAGAUCCCCCACACUGGUACUGAGGCACGGACCAGACUCCUACGGGAGGCAGCAGUGAGGAAUAUUGGUCAAUGGGCGAGAGCCUGAACCAGCCAUCCCGCGUGCAGGAAGAAUGCCCUAUGGGUUGUAAACUGCUUUUUCGCAUGAAGAACACCCCUGACGCGUUCGGGGGCUGACGGUAAUGCGUGAAUAAGCACCGGCUAACUCCGUGCCAGCAGCCGCGGUAAUACGGAGGGCGCAAGCGUUAUCCGGAUUUAUUGGGUUUAAAGGGUGCGUAGGCGGCGCUUUAAGUCAGUGGUGAAAUCCUGCAGCUCAACUGUAGAACAGCCAUUGAAACUGAAGUGCUUGAGUAAUCUUGAGGUAGGCGGAAUGUGUAGUGUAGCGGUGAAAUGCUUAGAUAUUACACAGAACACCGAUUGCGAAGGCAGCUUACUAAGGAUUCACUGACGCUGAUGCACGAAAGCGUGGGGAUCAAACAGGAUUAGAUACCCUGGUAGUCCACGCCGUAAACGAUGAUAACUCGCUGUUGGCGAUACACAGUCAGCGGCUUAGCGAAAGCGUUAAGUUAUCCACCUGGGGAGUACGCUCGCAAGAGUGAAACUCAAAGGAAUUGACGGGGGCCCGCACAAGCGGAGGAACAUGUGGUUUAAUUCGAUGAUACGCGAGGAACCUUACCUGGGCUUAAAUGUGCUAUGACCGCUGGAGAAAUUCGGCUUCCCGCAAGGGCAGAGUACAAGGUGCUGCAUGGUUGUCGUCAGCUCGUGCCGUGAGGUGUCGGGUUAAGUCCCAUAACGAGCGCAACCCUUAUUGUCAGUUGCUAACAGGUGAUGCUGAGGACUCUGGCGAGACUGCCACCGUAAGGUGUGAGGAAGGUGGGGAUGACGUCAAAUCAUCAUGCCCCUUAUGUCUUGGGCUUCACGCAUGCUACAAUGGCCGGUACAAAGGGCUGCAAUACCGUAAGGUGGAGCGAAUCCCAAAAAGCCGGUCCCAGUUCGGAUUGAGGUCUGCAACUCGACCUCAUGAAGUCGGAGUCGCUAGUAAUCGCAGAUCAGCAACGCUGCGGUGAAUACGUUCCCGGGUCUUGUACACACCGCCCGUCAAGUCAUGAAAGUCGGUAACACCUGAAGCCGGUGGCCCAACCCUUGUGGAGGGAGCCGUCGAAGGUGGGAUC